This 577-nucleotide long non-coding RNA is filed under the name Rattus norvegicus (Norway rat). RNAcentral's name for it is "long non-coding RNA NONRATT019909". The record is from RNAcentral. Lineage: Eukaryota; Metazoa; Chordata; Mammalia; Rodentia; Muridae.
AGGUGGGCACUCCUGAGACUGCAGAGCAGAAGAGACCACCAACACUGCCCACCCCUGCCCACAUCCCUGGCCCAAGAGGAAACUGUAUACGGCCUCUGGGUUCCCGUAGAGGAGGGCCCAGGAGCAGCAGGACUACUGCAUCUGAGACACCACCGGAACCUGAAGGGACCGACCAGAUAAACAGUUCUCUGCACCCAAAUCCCGUGGGAGGGAGAGCUAAACCUUCAGAGAGGCAGACAUGCCUGGGAAACCAGAAGAGACUGCACUCUGCACACAUUACUGAUUCCAGAGGAAAACACCAAACGCCAUCUGGAACCCUGGUGCACGGAAGCUCCCGGAAAGGGUGGUGCAGAUCUUCCUGGUUGCUACCCCCACGGAGAGCUCGUAGGCAGCACCCCAUGAGCAAACUUGAGCCUCGGGACCACAGGUAAGACAAACCUUCCUGCUCUAAGCGACCUGCCUGGUGAACUCAAGACACAGGCCCACAGGAACAGCUGAAGACCUGUAGAUAGGAAAAACUACACGCCCGAAAGCAGAACACUCUGUUCCCAUAACUGGUUGAAAGAAAACAGGAAAA